This 512-nucleotide ribosomal RNA is filed under the name uncultured marine bacterium. RNAcentral's name for it is "bacterial SSU rRNA". It matches the Rfam family "Bacterial small subunit ribosomal RNA", at positions 355 to 880 of the family's 1533-position model. The record is from RNAcentral.
UGGGGAAUUUUGCGCAAUGGGCGCAAGCCUGACGCAGCAAUGCCGCGUGAGUGAAGAAGGCUUUCGAGUCGUAAAGCUCUUUAUCUUUGGGAAGAAAUUGACGGUACCAGGGGAAGAAGCACCGGCUAACUACGUGCCAGCAGCCGCGGUAAUACGUAGGGUGCAAGCGUUGUUCGGAAUUACUGGGCGUAAAGGGCGUGCAGGCGGAAAAGCCAGCGGAGGGUGAAAGACCGGGGCUCAACCUCGGAAGUGCUUUCCGAACUGUUUUUCUAGAGAGGAUCAGAGGCUGACAGAAUUCCUGGUGUAGAGGUGAAAUUCGUAGAGAUCAGGAGGAAUAUCAGUGGCGAAAGCGGUUGGCUGGGAUCACUCUGACGCUGAGGCGCGAAAGCGUGGGGAGCAAACAGGAUUAGAUACCCUGGUAGUCCACGCUGUAAACGAUGGAUACUAGAUGUUCGGGAUGUUCGACCAUUCUGGGUGUCGCCGUUAACGCAAUAAGUAUCCCGCCUGGAGAC